GGAUGUAGGGUUCCGAGCCACCCUGUCUACUGGCAUAAGGGGACCAGACACUGAGAAUUCCAAAAAGUGAUAUCUUCAAAGAAGCAAAAUUACAGGAGGCAUCUGUGCUCCUUGAUUACAUCUUCUCGAAGAAAAAAACCACAAAGUCACAAAGGGAGCAACUAUAGAAAAGUUCCUAUCAGCUGUCCUUACUGUAACACCAAAGGAGACUAGUGAUGUUACAGGAGCGCCAAUAAAAGGAGCAGCAGCCCCAAUGGACAACAGUCACAGGAGCAUACUUCCUAGGAGUGGAUAUUUCUACUCGUUACCUCACAGUGUUGUGCUAGCUGGAAAAUAGAGGAUCCAAGAUGAACAUCUUGAAUGGGCACCCCUUUUCCUAACAUUACAGCUCCAAUGUGACCCACUACAUUUACAACAGGCACCUGUCAAAGUUUGAUGGAUUGUAACGUCAUAUCCUGGAGCAGUAGCUUACACAGCUCUUGUGACAGUUUUUCAGCUGGAAUUAGUGGCUCUUAACCUGUGGUCCAUGGAGUCCUUCAGGACAGGCCAGAGAAUAAAGCCUGAACAUGAAACAUUAGAGGGCUUAAGGUUCCUUCAACAGUAAAGCCUUGGUCACAUAGCCAAAGCAACUGCAUGCCCUCCUACAGUGCCUUCGUUUGAAACUACCUCACCACUGCCCCCUACCAAGGCCACCUUUAUAUUAGAAAAAGGUAUGUUUAACAAUUACUGAAGUAGCAGAGUGAAACCUGGCCUUGCUAAAGUAAAUCUAAAGACUCCUAAGAGUCAAGAUUUCACCUCUUACAUAGACAUGGCAGGUCUGUAGUUUUAAUGGGUCAGGUGCCCCUUGCUGGCCACCUGCCAGACUGCUGUGAUGGGAAAGCAAGCCUCAGCGAGUCCAACCACUGCCUCCAUCUUGGGGGUUGUAGGCACACAACUCAGGGUGCAGACCUGCAGUCUAACACUCCCUUCUAAGAGCUGGAACCUACUGUCCAGCUGCAUAGCCCCUCUGGGCACAAAGACGACUCUUCAGACUCCUCUGUACUUAAACACCCUUUCCCAGAACUUCACCUGAAAGGUAUGAAACCUUCUGGUUCUAGUUAGACUCUGGGCAAAAAUGUUAUACACUUCACCACUUGUGCAUGUCACCCAAAAGUUAAAACACAACCGCUCUUUUAUUUAAUCAUUAUAAACACAAUUAAAUGGAGAUGUACAGAAAACCACCAUCCUAACUUGAGAGAGUUGGGGAUUACAGAGAAGGCAAAUACAGCAGAAUAAUUUCCAUUUAGUUUUAUAUGCCUACAAAA
Molecule: long non-coding RNA, 1304 nt
Organism: Mauremys reevesii (Reeves's turtle)
Lineage: Eukaryota; Metazoa; Chordata; Testudines; Geoemydidae
Exons: 3
Source: RefSeq, a predicted model, not a curated record